UAAAUCACAAGGAAACCUAACCCGAAAUGGAA
This 32-nucleotide non-coding RNA is filed under the name Mus musculus (house mouse). Lineage: Eukaryota; Metazoa; Chordata; Mammalia; Rodentia; Muridae. The record is from RNAcentral.